GUAGACAUGGAUGCCCUGGAAGUACCUCUUCACGGCCACGGGUGGGGCCCGUCCUUCCCAGGGCAGAGUCUUCCUCUCCCGUCACCUGCCCCAGGCAGGCAUCCAGGUGGUCCAGCUGCUGAUGGAGUCCAGUGCGGAGCUGCUCCAGGAGGGUGGUGUUCCAGGCAGCAGAGGAGCGCUCUGUGUGGAAGAGGUUGAAGCUCUGCUGGAGCAUCUCGUGGAGCACAGAGACGGCCUGGGCCUCCUGGAGCUGGCCCCCCUCCACCAUCUCCUGGGGGAAAGCGAAGUCUUUUCUGUCCUGCAGACACAAGCGAGGGGAGAGUCUCCUCAUUUGGCCCAGGAGCCUGAGGUUCUUCCUGCCAACCAGCACGUGGUUCUGAGACAGGUCACAGCCCAGGGAUCCUCCCGGGCCGUAGCUGACCAGCACCAGGGCCACGAGUAG
This 442-nucleotide long non-coding RNA is filed under the name Ovis aries (sheep). RNAcentral's name for it is "lncRNA (ENSOARG00000025784.1)". The record is from RNAcentral. Lineage: Eukaryota; Metazoa; Chordata; Mammalia; Artiodactyla; Bovidae.